GGGACUGCAGCAGACGACCCGCGACACGUUCAAACACCGGGGGAGCAGCGCGGCGCGGGUGCUUCGGCGUCCCUCCGCGCGCGUUCCCCCUCGUCCCCGGCUCGUUC
RNAcentral lists this ribosomal RNA (107 nucleotides) under Solanum nigrum (black nightshade). RNAcentral's name for it is "partial 18S ribosomal RNA". The record is from RNAcentral. Lineage: Eukaryota; Viridiplantae; Streptophyta; Magnoliopsida; Solanales; Solanaceae.